Molecule: ribosomal RNA, 709 nt
Filed under: Flagellimonas marinaquae
Lineage: Bacteria; Pseudomonadati; Bacteroidota; Flavobacteriia; Flavobacteriales; Flavobacteriaceae
Description: bacterial SSU rRNA
Rfam family: Bacterial small subunit ribosomal RNA
Source: RNAcentral
GCAUAGAUAUCACAUAGAACACCGAUCGCGAAGGCAGGUGACCAACCAUGUACUGACGCUGAUGGACGAAAGCGUGGGUAGCGAACGGGAUUAGAUACCCCGGUAGUCCACGCCGUAAACGAUGGAUACUAGCUGUGGGGACUUCGGUCUCCGUGGCCAAGCGAAAGUGAUAAGUAUCCCACCUGGGGAGUACGUUCGCAAGAAUGAAACUCAAAGGAAUUGACGGGGGCCCGCACAAGCGGUGGAGCAUGUGGUUUAAUUCGAUGAUACGCGAGGAACCUUACCAGGGCUUAAAUGCAGGCUGCAUGGGGUAGAGAUACCCCUUUCUUCGGACCGCCUGCAAGGUGCUGCAUGGUUGUCGUCAGCUCGUGCCGUGAGGUGUCAGGUUAAGUCCUAUAACGAGCGCAACCCCUACCGUUAGUUGCCAGCAUGUCAAGAUGGGGACUCUAACGGGACUGCCGGUGCAAACCGUGAGGAAGGUGGGGACGACGUCAAAUCAUCACGGCCCUUACGUCCUGGGCUACACACGUGCUACAAUGGCCGGUACAGAGGGAAGCCACCCCGCAAGGGGGCGCGGAUCUACAAAACCGGUCACAGUUCGGAUCGGGGUCUGCAACUCGACCCCGUGAAGCUGGAAUCGCUAGUAAUCGGAUAUCAGCCAUGAUCCGGUGAAUACGUUCCCGGGCCUUGUACACACCGCCCGUCAAGC